GGAAUUUUCACCUGAGUCUGACAUCGUAGAAGGACCAUUCUAGUAUCAGAUUGGAUUUUGCACCUGAGUCUGUCAUCGUAGAAGGACCAUUCUGGUAUCAGAUUGGAUUUUGCACCUGAGUCUGACAUCGCAGGAGGUCCAUUCUGGUAUCAGAUUGGAUUUUGCACCUGAGCCUGACAUCGUAGAAGGUCCAUUCUGGUAUCAGAUUGGAUUUUGCACUUGAGUCUGACAUCCUAGGAGGACCAUUUUCACAUCAGAUUAGAUUUUCCACCUGAGUCUGACAUCGUAGAAGAAGCAUUUUUACAUCAGAUUAGAUUUUGCACCUGAGUCUGACAUCGCAGAAGAACCAUUUUCACAUCAGAUUGACUAUUUUUUUAUGGUUUUAGGAACUUUGCACCUGAGUGAUAUCGUAGAAGGACCAUUUUCGCAUC
This is a long non-coding RNA of Dalotia coriaria, 431 nucleotides long. RefSeq lists it as uncharacterized. The record is from RefSeq and is a predicted model, not a curated record. The transcript has 8 exons. Lineage: Eukaryota; Metazoa; Arthropoda; Insecta; Coleoptera; Staphylinidae.